Molecule: non-coding RNA, 331 nt
Organism: Ceratotherium simum simum (southern white rhinoceros)
Lineage: Eukaryota; Metazoa; Chordata; Mammalia; Perissodactyla; Rhinocerotidae
Source: RefSeq, a predicted model, not a curated record
CUGUGGGACCCCAGGAGCCACAGAGAACCUGACAAUGACCUGGCUGAGCAAGGGCCUCCCCAGGGAGCUGGAGCAGAGAGAGACACUGGGGCCGGGCCAGCCCCCAACUCCAGGAAUUUAAGCCUGAGCCUGCCCCUGAGCCAGUCGAAUGGCCACCUCACCUGUGUGGUCAGCAACCCUGUGGACGAGAAGAACGCAACCUUACACCUGGUGAACAUCUGUCCAUGGGCGGGUGGGUCCACUCUUCUGCCCAAGGUGCCAGGCUCAGCAGCUGUUUCCCAGGCCCUUCCCACAGAGGAAUCUACUGACCUGCAGACUGCUGAGGCUAACA